AACGCGAAGAACCUUACCUGGGUUUGACAUUUAGGGAAAAGCCGUAGAGAUACGGUGUCCUUCGGGGUCCUAAACAGGUGGUGCAUGGCUGUCGUCAGCUCGUGUCGUGAGAUGUUGGGUUAAGUCCCGCAACGAGCGCAACCCUUAUUCUAUGUUGCCAGCGCGUAAUGGCGGGGACUCGUAGGAGACUGCCGGGGUCAACUCGGAGGAAGGUGGGGACGACGUCAAGUCAUCAUGCCCCUUAUAUCCAGGGCUGCACACAUGCUACAAUGGCUGGUACAACGGGUCGCUAAUCCGCGAGGAGGAGCUAAUCCCCAAAGCCAGUCUCAGUUCGGAUCGCAGUCUGCAACUCGACUGCGUGAAGUCGGAGUCGCUAGUAAUCCCGGAUCAGCAACGCCGGGGUGAAUACGUUCCCGGGCCUUGUACACACCGUAGUAC
Molecule: ribosomal RNA, 438 nt
Filed under: uncultured bacterium
Lineage: Bacteria
Description: bacterial SSU rRNA
Rfam family: Bacterial small subunit ribosomal RNA
Source: RNAcentral